Molecule: non-coding RNA, 819 nt
Filed under: Odorrana narina
Lineage: Eukaryota; Metazoa; Chordata; Amphibia; Anura; Ranidae
Description: partial 12S rRNA
Rfam family: Bacterial small subunit ribosomal RNA
Source: RNAcentral
AACUUACACAUGCAAGUCUCAGCACACCUGUGAGAACGCCCUUUCAACCUUCACCAGGCCAAGGAGCCGGCAUCAGACACAACUUUAGUCCACAACGCCUAGUCUCACCACACCCACAAGGGUCAUCAGCAGUGAUAAAUCUUGAGCAUAAGCGAUAGCUUGACUCAGUCAGAGAAAAGAGGGCCGGCCAACCCGGUGCCAGCCGCCGCGGCUACCCCGUGGGGCCCAAGUUGAGGGCUAUCGGCGUUAAGCGUGAUUAAAGUCCAUUUAGAUUAAGGUCGAAUUAAUACUAAGUAGUUUAAAGCUCGUUAUUAAGAAGAACACAAACGAAAGUUACCUUAACCCACACACUUGAAUACACGACAGCUGGGGGACAAACUAGGAUCAGAUACCCUACUAUGCCCAGCCGUAAACAAUUAACUUACACCUACAAGCGCCAGGGAACUACGAGCCACGCUUAAAACCCAAAGGAUUUGACGGUGUCCCACCCCACUAGAGGAGCCUGUUCUUUAAUCGAUGAUCCCCGAUAUACCCCACCACCCCUUGCUCGUCAGUCUGUAUACCUCCGUCGAAAACUUACCAUGUGAAUGUUUACAGUAGGUUUAAUGACCAUAUUAAUUCGUCAAUACGUCAGGUCAAGGUGCAGCUUAAGGGGUGGAAAGUGAUUGGCUACAAUUUCUAAUUUAGAACAAACGAAAGGCCAUGUGAAAUCGUGGCCGCGAAGGCGGAUUUAGUAGUAAAAAGAAAAUAGAGUGUUCUUUUUAACCCGGCUCUGGGACGCGUACACACCGCCCGUCACCCUCUUCAAUGACAUUACAC